CUGUAAUGAUGACCACCACUUAGGACACCUCUGAAUUAAUGAAGAGACGAGUUUCUGAGCAGC
RNAcentral lists this small nucleolar RNA (63 nucleotides) under Danio rerio (zebrafish). Its description in RNAcentral is "Small nucleolar RNA SNORD58". It matches the Rfam family "Small nucleolar RNA SNORD58". Rfam says of the family: snoRNA U58 is found in introns 1, 3 and 6 of the ribosomal protein RPL17 gene in humans. U58 is a member of the C/D class of snoRNA which contain C (UGAUGA) and D (CUGA) box motifs. Most of the members of the box C/D family function in directing site-specific 2'-O-methylation of substrate RNAs. Lineage: Eukaryota; Metazoa; Chordata; Actinopteri; Cypriniformes; Danionidae. The record is from Rfam by way of RNAcentral.